GAUGAACGCUGGCGGCGUGCUUAACACAUGCAAGUCGAGCGAAGCACCUUGAAGUCUUCGGACUAAGAGGUGACUGAGCGGCGGACGGGUGAGUAACGCGUGGGUAACCUGCCUCAUACAGGGGGAUAACAGUUAGAAAUGGCUGCUAAUACCGCAUAAGCGCACGGUACUGCAUGGUACAGUGUGAAAAACUCCGGUGGUGUGAGAUGGACCCGCGUUGGAUUAGCCAGUUGGCAGGGUAACGCCUACCAAAGCGACGAUCCAUAGCCGGCCUGAGAGGGUGAACGGCCACAUUGGGACUGAGACACGGCCCAGACUCCUACGGGAGGCAGCAGUGGGGAAUAUGCACAAUGGGGGAAACCCUGAUGCAGCGACGCCGC
RNAcentral lists this ribosomal RNA (380 nucleotides) under uncultured bacterium. RNAcentral describes it as "bacterial SSU rRNA". It matches the Rfam family "Bacterial small subunit ribosomal RNA", at positions 28 to 400 of the family's 1533-position model. The record is from RNAcentral.